GCCCUUGUGCCAAGCAGCCGCGGUAAUUCCAGCUCCAAUAGCGUAUAUUAAAGUUGUUGCGGUAAAAAAGCUCGUAGUUGGAUUUCUGUUGAAGACGUCCGGUCCAUACCACGUAUGCGCAUCUGGCUCGGCUUCGGCAUCCUCUCGAAAGACGUUUCUGCGCUUGAUUGCGUGGAGCGGAUCUCGGGACUUUUACUUUGAGGAAAUUAGAGUGUUCACGGCAGGCUAUCGCCAGAAUACAUUAGCAUGGAAUAAUACUAUAGGAUCUCGGUUCUAUUUUGUUGGUUUCUAGAAUUGAGAUAAUGAUUAAUAGGGACAAUUGGGGGCAUUCGUAUCAACACGUUAGAGGUGAAAUUCUUGGAUCGUGUUGCGACGAACUACUGCGAAAGCAUUUGCCAAGGGUGUUUUCAUUGAUCAAGAACGAAAGUAAGGGGAUCGAAGACGAUUAGAUACCGUCGUAGUCUUUACCAUAAACUAUGCCAACUAGAGAUGGGACAUCGUUCACUUAAGACUUGUUCCGCACCUUAUGAGAUAUCAAAGUCUUUGGGUUCCGGGGGGAGUAUGGUCGCAAGUCUGAAACUUAAAGGAAUUGACGGAAGGGCACCACCAGGAGUGGAGCCUGCGGCUUAAUUUGACUCAACACGGGGAAACUCACCAGGUCCAGACAUAAUAAGGAUUGACAGAUUGAUAGCUCUUUCUUGAUUUUAUGGGUGGUGGUGCAUGGCCGUUCUUAGUUCGUGGAGUGAUUUGUCUGCUUAAUUGCGUUAACGAACGAGACCUUAACCUGCUAAAUAGGAGCGCCUAUCUCCGGAUAAGCGCCUUUCUUCUUAGAGGGACUUUAUGCGUUUCAGCAUGAGGAAGUUUGAGGCUAAAACAGGUCUGUGAUGCCCAAGGG
This 895-nucleotide ribosomal RNA is filed under the name uncultured eukaryote. Its description in RNAcentral is "SSU rRNA". It matches the Rfam family "Eukaryotic small subunit ribosomal RNA", at positions 559 to 1478 of the family's 1831-position model. The record is from RNAcentral.